Molecule: transfer RNA, 73 nt
Filed under: Canis lupus familiaris (dog)
Lineage: Eukaryota; Metazoa; Chordata; Mammalia; Carnivora; Canidae
Also listed under: 1 other name
Rfam family: tRNA
About the family: Transfer RNA (tRNA) molecules are approximately 80 nucleotides in length.
Source: Rfam by way of RNAcentral
GCCUGACUGGCUCAGUCCGUGGAGCAUGUGACUUUUGAUCUUAGUGUCAUGAGUUCAAGCCCCAUAUUGGGUG